GGGUUGUGAGGUUAAGCGACUAAGCGUACACGGUGGAUGCCCUGGCAGUCAGAGGCGAUGAAGGACGUGCUAAUCUGCGAUAAGCGUCGGUAAGGUGAUAUGAACCGUUAUAACCGGCGAUUUCCGAAUGGGGAAACCCAGUGUGAUUCGUCACACUAUCAUUAACUGAAUCCAUAGGUUAAUGAGGCGAACCGGGGGAACUGAAACAUCUAAGUACCCCGAGGAAAAGAAAUCAACCGAGAUUCCCCCAGUAGCGGCGAGCGAACGGGGAGCAGCCCAGAGCCUGAAUCAGUGUGUGUGUUAGUGGAAGCGUCUGGAAAGGCGUGCGAUACAGGGUGACAGCCCCGUACACAAAAAUGCACAUGCUGUGAGCUCGAUGAGUAGGGCGGGACACGUGGUAUCCUGUCUGAAUAUGGGGGGACCAUCCUCCAAGGCUAAAUACUCCUGACUGACCGAUAGUGAACCAGUACCGUGAGGGAAAGGCGAAAAGAACCCCGGCGAGGGGAGUGAAAAAGAACCUGAAACCGUGUACGUACAAGCAGUGGGAGCACGCUUAGGCGUGUGACUGCGUACCUUUUGUAUAAUGGGUCAGCGACUUAUAUUCUGUAGCAAGGUUAACCGAAUAGGGGAGCCGAAGGGAAACCGAGUCUUAACUGGGCGUUAAGUUGCAGGGUAUAGACCCGAAACCCGGUGAUCUAGCCAUGGGCAGGUUGAAGGUUGGGUAACACUAACUGGAGGACCGAACCGACUAAUGUUGAAAAAUUAGCGGAUGACUUGUGGCUGGGGGUGAAAGGCCAAUCAAACCGGGAGAUAGCUGGUUCUCCCCGAAAGCUAUUUAGGUAGCGCCUCGUGAAUUCAUCUCCGGGGGUAGAGCACUGUUUCGGCAAGGGGGUCAUCCCGACUUACCAACCCGAUGCAAACUGCGAAUACCGGAGAAUGUUAUCACGGGAGACACACGGCGGGUGCUAACGUCCGUCGUGAAGAGGGAAACAACCCAGACCGCCAGCUAAGGUCCCAAAGUCAUGGUUAAGUGGGAAACGAUGUGGGAAGGCCCAGACAGCCAGGAUGUUGGCUUAGAAGCAGCCAUCAUUUAAAGAAAGCGUAAUAGCUCACUGGUCGAGUCGGCCUGCGCGGAAGAUGUAACGGGGCUAAACCAUGCACCGAAGCUGCGGCAGCGACGCUUAUGCGUUGUUGGGUAGGGGAGCGUUCUGUAAGCCUGCGAAGGUGUGCUGUGAGGCAUGCUGGAGGUAUCAGAAGUGCGAAUGCUGACAUAAGUAACGAUAAAGCGGGUGAAAAGCCCGCUCGCCGGAAGACCAAGGGUUCCUGUCCAACGUUAAUCGGGGCAGGGUGAGUCGACCCCUAAGGCGAGGCCGAAAGGCGUAGUCGAUGGGAAACAGGUUAAUAUUCCUGUACUUGGUGUUACUGCGAAGGGGGGACGGAGAAGGCUAUGUUGGCCGGGCGACGGUUGUCCCGGUUUAAGCGUGUAGGCUGGUUUUCCAGGCAAAUCCGGAAAAUCAAGGCUGAGGCGUGAUGACGAGGCACUACGGUGCUGAAGCAACAAAUGCCCUGCUUCCAGGAAAAGCCUCUAAGCAUCAGGUAACAUCAAAUCGUACCCCAAACCGACACAGGUGGUCAGGUAGAGAAUACCAAGGCGCUUGAGAGAACUCGGGUGAAGGAACUAGGCAAAAUGGUGCCGUAACUUCGGGAGAAGGCACGCUGAUAUGUAGGUGAAGUCCCUCGCGGAUGGAGCUGAAAUCAGUCGAAGAUACCAGCUGGCUGCAACUGUUUAUUAAAAACACAGCACUGUGCAAACACGAAAGUGGACGUAUACGGUGUGACGCCUGCCCGGUGCCGGAAGGUUAAUUGAUGGGGUUAGCGCAAGCGAAGCUCUUGAUCGAAGCCCCGGUAAACGGCGGCCGUAACUAUAACGGUCCUAAGGUAGCGAAAUUCCUUGUCGGGUAAGUUCCGACCUGCACGAAUGGCGUAAUGAUGGCCAGGCUGUCUCCACCCGAGACUCAGUGAAAUUGAACUCGCUGUGAAGAUGCAGUGUACCCGCGGCAAGACGGAAAGACCCCGUGAACCUUUACUAUAGCUUGACACUGAACAUUGAGCCUUGAUGUGUAGGAUAGGUGGGAGGCUUUGAAGUGUGGACGCCAGUCUGCAUGGAGCCGACCUUGAAAUACCACCCUUUAAUGUUUGAUGUUCUAACGUUGACCCGUAAUCCGGGUUGCGGACAGUGUCUGGUGGGUAGUUUGACUGGGGCGGUCUCCUCCUAAAGAGUAACGGAGGAGCACGAAGGUUGGCUAAUCCUGGUCGGACAUCAGGAGGUUAGUGCAAUGGCAUAAGCCAGCUUGACUGCGAGCGUGACGGCGCGAGCAGGUGCGAAAGCAGGUCAUAGUGAUCCGGUGGUUCUGAAUGGAAGGGCCAUCGCUCAACGGAUAAAAGGUACUCCGGGGAUAACAGGCUGAUACCGCCCAAGAGUUCAUAUCGACGGCGGUGUUUGGCACCUCGAUGUCGGCUCAUCACAUCCUGGGGCUGAAGUAGGUCCCAAGGGUAUGGCUGUUCGCCAUUUAAAGUGGUACGCGAGCUGGGUUUAGAACGUCGUGAGACAGUUCGGUCCCUAUCUGCCGUGGGCGCUGGAGAACUGAGGGGGGCUGCUCCUAGUACGAGAGGACCGGAGUGGACGCAUCACUGGUGUUCGGGUUGUCAUGCCAAUGGCACUGCCCGGUAGCUAAAUGCGGAAGAGAUAAGUGCUGAAAGCAUCUAAGCACGAAACUUGCCCCGAGAUGAGUUCUCCCUGACUCCUUGAGAGUCCUGAAGGAACGUUGAAGACGACGACGUUGAUAGGCCGGGUGUGUAAGCGCAGCGAUGCGUUGAGCUAACCGGUACUAAUGAACCGUGAGGCUUAACCUUACAACGCCGAAGGUGUUU
RNAcentral lists this ribosomal RNA (2931 nucleotides) under Escherichia coli. RNAcentral describes it as "bacterial LSU rRNA". It matches the Rfam family "Bacterial large subunit ribosomal RNA". The record is from RNAcentral. Lineage: Bacteria; Pseudomonadati; Pseudomonadota; Gammaproteobacteria; Enterobacterales; Enterobacteriaceae.